Small nucleolar RNA from Cavia porcellus (domestic guinea pig), 103 nucleotides. It matches the Rfam family "Small nucleolar RNA U13". NCBI's taxonomy places the organism in Eukaryota, Metazoa, Chordata, Mammalia, Rodentia, Caviidae. The record is from Rfam.
GCCCUCCUCAGGUUCAUAAGGGUGAUGAUUGGGUGCUCAUGCUCCAUGCAUGACAUGUUUCCUUUGAACCUUGUUAUGACGUUGGCACAUUACCUAUCUGACG